Molecule: long non-coding RNA, 74 nt
Filed under: Crocodylus porosus (Australian saltwater crocodile)
Lineage: Eukaryota; Metazoa; Chordata; Crocodylia; Crocodylidae
Description: Mammalian CPEB3 ribozyme (ENSCPRG00005011810.1)
Rfam family: Mammalian CPEB3 ribozyme
About the family: The mammalian CPEB3 ribozyme is a self cleaving RNA located in the second intron of the CPEB3 gene which belongs to a family of genes regulating messenger RNA polyadenylation. This ribozyme is highly conserved and found only in mammals. There is currently only one other known self cleaving ribozyme in mammals, the CoTC motif.
Source: Rfam by way of RNAcentral
AUUGCAAGUUUGAGGCCACAGCAGAAAUGUUCAUGGCACAGCCCUGUCAGAUUCCAACAAAUCUGAAUUCUGCU